This 466-nucleotide ribosomal RNA is filed under the name uncultured bacterium. RNAcentral describes it as "partial 16S ribosomal RNA". It matches the Rfam family "Bacterial small subunit ribosomal RNA", at positions 28 to 507 of the family's 1533-position model. The record is from RNAcentral.
GAUGAACGCUGGCGGCGUGCUUAACACAUGCAAGUCGAACGGAAAGGCCCAAGCUUGCUUGGGUACUCGAGUGGCGAACGCGUGAGUAACACGUGGGUGAUCUGCCCUGCACUUCGGGAUAAGCCUUGGAAACUGGGUCUAAUACCGGAUAGGACCACAUUAUGGAUGUUGUGGUGGAGAGUUUUUCGGUGUGGGAUGAGCUCGCGGCCUAUCAGCUUGUUGGUGGGGUAAUGGCCUACCAAGGCGUCGACGAGUAGCCGGCCUGAGAGGGUGUACGGCCACAUAGAGACUGAGGUACGGCCCAGACACGUACGGGAGGGAGCAGUGGGAAAUAUUGCACGAGGGGCGCAAGGCGAAUGAUGCAACGCCGCGGAGGGGAAGACUGCCUUCUGGUUGUAGACUCAUUGCGCUAGGGACGAAGCGUUAUGUGACGGUACCUAGAGAAAAAGCCACGGCUAACUACGUG